Molecule: ribosomal RNA, 207 nt
Filed under: Chaetoceros curvisetus
Lineage: Eukaryota; Bacillariophyta; Thalassiosirophyceae; Chaetocerotales; Chaetocerotaceae
Description: partial Eukaryotic large subunit ribosomal RNA
Rfam family: Eukaryotic large subunit ribosomal RNA
Source: RNAcentral
CUCCCCAUUCGACCCGUCUUGAAACACGGACCAAGGAGUCUAACAUGCCCGCGAGUGUUUGGGUGGAAAACCCGGACGCGUAAUGAAAGUGAAAGUUGAGAUCCCUGUCGUGGGGAGCAUCGACGCCCGGACCAGACCUUUUGUGACGGUCCCGCGGUAGAGCGUGUAUGUUGGGACCCGAAAGAUGGUGAACUAUGCCUGAGCGGG